RNAcentral lists this ribosomal RNA (499 nucleotides) under uncultured bacterium. Its description in RNAcentral is "partial 16S ribosomal RNA". It matches the Rfam family "Bacterial small subunit ribosomal RNA", at positions 28 to 507 of the family's 1533-position model. The record is from RNAcentral.
GACGAAUGCUGGCGGCGUGCCUAAUACAUGCAAGUCGAGCGAAGUUUUUCUGGUGCUUGCACUAGAAAAACUUAGCGGCGAACGGGUGAGUAACACGUAAAGAACCUGCCUCAUAGACUGGGACAACUAUUGGAAACGAUAGCUAAUACCGGAUAACAGUAUUUCUCGCAUGAGAGAUAUUUAAAAGUUGGUUAUGCUAACACUAUGAGAUGGCUUUGCGGUGCAUUAGCUAGUUGGUGGGGUAAAGGCCCACCAAGGCGACGAUGCAUAGCCGACCUGAGAGGGUGAUCGGCCACACUGGGACUGAGACACGGCCCAGACUCCUACGGGAGGCAGCAGUAGGGAAUCUUCCGCAAUGGGCGAAAGCCUGACGGAGCAACGCCGCGUGAGUGAAGAAGGAUUUCGGUUCGUAAAGCUCUGUUGUUAGGGAAGAAUGGAUAUGUAGUAACUAUACAUGUAAGAGACGGUACCUAACCAGAAAGCCACGGCUAACUACGUG